GAUGAACGCUAGCUACAGGCUUAACACAUGCAAGUCGAGGGGAAACGACAUCGAAAGCUUGCUUUUGAUGGGCGUCGACCGGCGCACGGGUGAGUAACGCGUAUCCAACCUGCCCAUCACUUGGGGAUAACCUUGCGAAAGUAAGACUAAUACCCAAUGACGUCUCUAGAAGACAUCUGAAAGAGAUUAAAGAUUUAUCGGUGAUGGAUGGGGAUGCGUCUGAUUAGCUUGUUGGCGGGGUAACGGCCCACCAAGGCGACGAUCAGUAGGGGUUCUGAGAGGAAGGUCCCCCACAUUGGUACUGAGACACGGGCCAAACUCCUACGGGAGGCAGCAGUGAGGAAUAUUGGUCAAUGGACGGGAGUCUGAACCAGCCAAGUCGCGUGAGGGAUGAAGGUCCUACGGAUUGUAAACCUCUUUUGCCGGGGAGUAACGUGCGGGACGCGUCCCGUAUUGAGAGUACCCGAAGAAAAGCAUCGGCUAACUCCGUG
RNAcentral lists this ribosomal RNA (491 nucleotides) under uncultured bacterium. RNAcentral's name for it is "bacterial SSU rRNA". It matches the Rfam family "Bacterial small subunit ribosomal RNA", at positions 28 to 507 of the family's 1533-position model. The record is from RNAcentral.